RNAcentral lists this transfer RNA (64 nucleotides) under Rhynocoris incertis. Its description in RNAcentral is "tRNA-Asp". Lineage: Eukaryota; Metazoa; Arthropoda; Insecta; Hemiptera; Reduviidae. The record is from RNAcentral.
AAAAAGUUAGUUUAAAAAAAACAUUAGCUUGUCAAGCUAAAAUUAUUAAUAUUAAUACUUUUUA